ACAGAAUGAAUAAUAAAAACUCGUGACUUCUCAGAGCCUCCAUUGGCCAUUCAGUUCAAACAAUUCACACGGAGCCAAUCAAACAUUCACCUGUUGGCAAACAACCUCCAGACCACAUUCCAAAGCAGCAAAACAGGGAGGAGCAAUCAGAAAAUCUGCUCCAGGAUUCAGUUUUGGGAGAUAAAAUUGGCUUUGCCUGUUUCUGCACUGCCCAAAUCCAGGGAAGGGAUGGAAAAGCUGCCCUGGCAUCUUUUAGAGGGAAGAUUACUUGGCCUUGCUUUUCCUGAGGUUUUUUGAGGAAUCCAGCUUUUAAACCAAGGGCAUGGAUGACACCUAAAAAUUAAUUAAGGAAGAGGCAAAAUCAUCCCUGAAUGCAACUGGAAUAGAGUCAGCCCUCAAUCCAGAUGGAAGUGUCCAAGCCUGGAAGCUGCUCCUGGGCCAUUCAGGAAAAGGAGAAAAUUCAGUUUGCCAGGAAUUUGCACAGGAAAACCUGCAUGGAAAACUUCCCACAGCAGCUGCUGGGAAGGGGACAGAGGAGCAGGUGGAAAUUUUA
Long non-coding RNA from Passer domesticus (house sparrow), 553 nucleotides. RefSeq lists it as uncharacterized. The record is from RefSeq and is a predicted model, not a curated record. NCBI's taxonomy places the organism in Eukaryota, Metazoa, Chordata, Aves, Passeriformes, Passeridae. The transcript has 5 exons.